RNAcentral lists this unclassified non-coding RNA (362 nucleotides) under uncultured Venturiaceae. RNAcentral describes it as "sequence contains ITS2". The stretch from base 1 to 154 matches the Rfam family "5.8S ribosomal RNA". The record is from RNAcentral. Lineage: Eukaryota; Fungi; Ascomycota; Dothideomycetes; Venturiales; Venturiaceae.
AACUUUUGACAAUGGAUCUCUUGGUUCUGGCAACGAUGAAGAACGCAGCGGAAUGCGAUAAGUAAUGUGAAUUGCAGAAUUCAGUGAAUCAUCGAAUCUUUGAACGCACAUUGCGCCCCCUGGUAUUCCGGGGGGCACACCUGUUCGAGCGCCAUUUCUACCCUGGAGCCCUGCUCUGUGAUGGGCCCCGUCCUCGCGGACGGGUCCGAAACCCGUGGGCGCCGUCGUCCGGUCCCGAGCGUAGCAAGAGAAAUCCCUCGCUCGGAGCGCCAGGCGGUGGCCGCCCCGACCCAUUUUUACAAGGUUGGCCUCGGAUCAGGUGGGGAUACCCGCUGAACUUAAGCAUAUCAAUAAGCGGAGGC